RNAcentral lists this long non-coding RNA (2379 nucleotides) under Mus musculus (house mouse). RNAcentral describes it as "long non-coding RNA chr9:25259455-25261834". Lineage: Eukaryota; Metazoa; Chordata; Mammalia; Rodentia; Muridae. The record is from RNAcentral.
UUAAUUUUACUUAUUUCUUUCUGCUUUUUAAAUGUAACUCAGAGAAAAUUUACAAUCACUUAUGUGGCUUGCAUAUAUUUCUGGUGGACAAAGUGUCCAUCUGUCCUGUGUUAGAACCUCACUACUCUCUGAGAAAGUUGUGCUGUCGCUGUUACAUAGCUGAAUGCUGGUAUUCAGAGGUGCUCAUUUAUUCUUCUUCAGUAUUACACAACCCUCUGGAGGCAGUCCUGCGGCUUUCCUGAAGUUUCGGAGUUUGUUUUCCAUUUCUUUUAAUAGUGUUUAUGAGGCAGAGAACCAGAAUUUUUGUAUCAUUGUUGCUACUUUCCUCUGAACUUAAUUUUGUACAUAGCCUUUUCUGGGGCUACAUUCUAGAGAAAUAAGCUAAUGAAUCUUAAAUAACCUUUUAGGAGAAUCUUAUUUUCUUACUGAUUAUGUUGUCAACUAAGGUAUUGUUAUCUUUUCUUCUUGGGCUGCUAUAGUUUUGCUUAUUCAUUUUUUUUUCUUAGAUUCGGAGAACUUACUGAAUACAUCAAAUAUGCCCCCAUCUCCUAUUUCUGAAGUUCUGUUCUAGUUCUGGCCUUCAUUAAAACUUUGUCUUUCAGAUUACAGUUUGGGAUGAGGGAAAAGGCACAUGGUUUGGCUCCACAUAUUUCCAUAUUAUAUUUUACUUUGGAGUCUUUAAGAGUCCUAGAAAGUAACUUUUAGCUUUAGUCACUUGCAGAUUUCACAUGUAUAUCUUCUGUUUUUUCACCAAAUUAUGAAAUAAUAUGACUUAAUUGGGGUCAUAAGACUACCAGACUCUUGAAAUGCAUAAUUCUGCUGAGUUGAUAUACAACUAAGUAGCUCUCUCUACUUUCCUUGUAUUCUCCUCAUGGUUAAUCUUAAGAUUUCUUCCUUUGUACUCAUGAAUUUGUCAAAAUAAAUAAAAAAAUGCCUGAUUUACCUGUUAAAAAGGAAGAGCUAGGGGUAGGACUGAAGGAGCUGAAGGAGAUUGCAACCCCGUAAGAUGAACAAUAUCAACUAAAUGGACCACCCAGAGAACCCAGGGACUAAACCACCAACCAAAGAUGGAGGGAGCCAGGACUCCAGAUACUAUGUAGAAGAGUAUGGCCUUAUCUGACAUCAGUGGGAGGGAGGAGGGAGGCUUGAUGCCCCAGCGUAGGGGGAUGCUGGAGGGGUGAGGUGGGAGUGGGUAAAUGGGUAGAGGCAUUCAUAGCGGCAAAGGGAAAGGGUGAGGAGGGAGGAUGGGAUGGGAGGCUGGUAGAGGGGUAAGUGGGAAGGGGGAUAGCAUUUGAAAUGUAAAUGAAUAAAAUGAUUUUUAAAAGUAAACACAUGGUGGUUUAUGAUGUACAUGGCUUCAUUUUCUUUCAUUGUGAAUUUUUAAAAAUGGAAUUGAUUCUUGAUUCCUUGGCAAUAACUUGGGGGAUAAUAGAGUUGUCAUCAAGCCCAGCUAGCCAAAACAGCACUGGUAUUAAAAGACUGGGGUACUGUCUUCUUUUAGAUUGUUUUUAUUAUUUUUAUUUGAUUUUUUUACAUUUGUUUAUUUAUCCUGGGGGUGGGCAUACUUGGGGAGGUCAACUUGCAGGAGUGAGUUUGGGGGAUCUGAGCUAAAGUCUUCAUGUUUGCCAGCAAGCACCUUUACCCACAGAGCUAUCCAGCUGGUUGGCUGUUAAUUGACUUUAAAAAAAAAUGCUGUAAUGAUGAAUGAUGAUGACUUAUGGUUUCAGUUCUCUAGUCUGACUCAAAUACAUAGAUGUACACACUUAAUUUUUUCAAGCUAUUGCAAAAGUCUUUUAGCUUUAGCAGCUCUCCAACACCAAAUAUUCAUACCAUUUUAAUGGUGAAUGAAGUUCUUCAACAUUUUUUUCUUUGGCUGUAUAACUUAGAAAUUUGACUAAGCAAAUGCCUGAGAGUUGUAGUUAUACUUAUUAUGUAAUACAUUAAGUAGUAGACAUGCAAAUUUUUGUGGUAAUCUUUUUUUUUAAUCUGUGAUUGGCUUUCAUAAUUAUAAUGAGUUAGUUUUGCAAUGGAGGUUUUACUAUGUUACCUGGGCUGGCCUUGAGCCCAAGUGCUCAACUGACUCUGCUGCUCUACUUCUCCAUUGGGGCUGGAACUGCAGCUGUGCAUCAUUACUGCCCCUCCCCCAACCCAUAUUAGAAUUAAUUGAAAAAUUUGUAGGCAAAUUCAAUUGUCAUUAAGUAAAAUACCUAAUGAACAUACACACUAAAAUCCAAAGAUUGAAUUUAAAACCAUAUAGGAAAGACCAAAUGUUUAUCCAUGAUAUUUAAAGUUAUUGAUGCCACCCUUUGUAUCUUUAUAACCUGGUAUUUAUUUUCUUAAAUUGCAAUGACAGUGGGAGAAAUAGAAUCUAUAUGAAUG